AUGCUCACUUCAGCAGCAUAUAUAUUAAAACUGGAAUGACACUGAGAAGAUUAGCAUGGCCCCUGAGCAAGGAUGAUACGCAAAUUUGUGAAACAUGCCAUAUUUGG
Molecule: small nuclear RNA, 107 nt
Organism: Suncus etruscus (white-toothed pygmy shrew)
Lineage: Eukaryota; Metazoa; Chordata; Mammalia; Eulipotyphla; Soricidae
Source: RefSeq, a predicted model, not a curated record